RNAcentral lists this ribosomal RNA (254 nucleotides) under uncultured bacterium. RNAcentral describes it as "partial 16S ribosomal RNA". It matches the Rfam family "Bacterial small subunit ribosomal RNA", at positions 524 to 776 of the family's 1533-position model. The record is from RNAcentral.
UACGUAGGCAGCAAGCGUUUGUUCGGAGUUACUGGGCGUAAAGGGUGCGUAGGCGGCUUUUUAAGUUUGGUGUGAAAUCUCCCGGCUCAACUGGGAGGGUGCGCCGAAUACUGAGAGGCUAGAGUGUGGGAGAGGAAAGUGGAAUUCCUGGUGUAGCGGUGAAAUGCGUAGAUAUCAGGAGGAACACCGGUGGUGUAAACGGCUUUCUGGACCAUAACUGACGCUGAGGCACGAAAGCGUGGGUAGCAAACAGG